UUAAUACACCAUAGUAUGAUGAGGAGGCAUCUCCUUAUCAUUAAAGUUCCGACAGUUAAAGAUGAGCAUGCGUGACAUUAGCUAGUUGGUGAGGUAACGGCUCACCAAGGCCACGAUGUCUAGGGGAUCUGAGAGGAUUAACCCCCACACUGGUACUGAGACACGGGACCAGACUCCUACGGGAGGCAGCAGUAAGGAAUAUUGGACAAUGGUGGCAACACCUGAUCCAGCCAUGCCGCGUGAAGGAUGAAGGCCCUAUGGGUUGUAAACUUCUUUGUACGGGAAAAACCUUCUUACGUGUAAGAAGCUGAUUGUACUGUAAGAAUAAGGAUCGGCUAACUCCGUG
RNAcentral lists this ribosomal RNA (346 nucleotides) under uncultured bacterium. Its description in RNAcentral is "bacterial SSU rRNA". It matches the Rfam family "Bacterial small subunit ribosomal RNA", at positions 163 to 507 of the family's 1533-position model. The record is from RNAcentral.